Molecule: ribosomal RNA, 255 nt
Filed under: uncultured bacterium
Lineage: Bacteria
Description: partial 16S ribosomal RNA
Rfam family: Bacterial small subunit ribosomal RNA
Source: RNAcentral
CGACGUGGAUAACCUGCCGUAUACAGGGGGAUAACACUUAGAAAUAGGUGCUAAUACCGCAUAAGCGCACAGCUUUGCAUGAAGCAGUGUGAAAAGCAAAAAGUUAAAACUUUUAGCGGUAUACGAUGGAUCCGCGUCUGAUUAGCCAGUUGGCGGGGUAACGGCCCACCAAAGCGACGAUCAGUAGCCGGCCUGAGAGGGCGGACGGCCACAUUGGGACUGAGACACGGCCCAGACUCCUACGGAAGGCAGCAG